AGUGAACGCUGGCGGUAGGCCUAACACAUGCAAGUCGAACGGCAGCACAGUAAGAGCUUGCUCCUACGGGUGGCGAGUGGCGGACGGGUGAGGAAUACAUCGGAAUCUACUUUUUCGUGGGGGAUAACGUAGGGAAACUUACGCUAAUACCGCACACGACCUACGGGUGAAAGCAGGGGAUCUUCGGACCUUGCGCGAUUGAAUGAGCCGAUGUCGGAUUAGCUAGUUGGCGGGGUAAAGGCCCACCAAGGCGACGAUCCGUAGCUGGUCUGAGAGGAUGAUCAGCCACACUGGACCUGAGACACGGUCCAGACUCCUACGGGAGGCAGCAGUGGGGAAUAUUGGACAAUGGGCGCAAGCCUGAUCCAGCCAUACCGCGUGGGUGAAGAAGGCCUUCGGGUUGUAAAGCCCUUUUGUUGGGAAAGAAAAGCAGCAGGUUAAUACCCCGCUGUUCUGACGGUACCCAAAGAAUAAGCACCGGCUAACUUCGU
This 491-nucleotide ribosomal RNA is filed under the name uncultured bacterium. RNAcentral describes it as "partial 16S ribosomal RNA". It matches the Rfam family "Bacterial small subunit ribosomal RNA", at positions 29 to 506 of the family's 1533-position model. The record is from RNAcentral.